RNAcentral lists this ribosomal RNA (1386 nucleotides) under uncultured bacterium. Its description in RNAcentral is "bacterial SSU rRNA". It matches the Rfam family "Bacterial small subunit ribosomal RNA". The record is from RNAcentral.
UUAGAGUUUGAUCCUGGCUCACGAUGAACGCUAGCGACAGGCCUAACACAUGCAAGUCGAGGGGCAGCACUUCGGGUGGCGACCGGCGCACGGGUGAGUAACGCGUAUGUAACCUGCCCAUCAGUUAGGAAUAGCCCAGUGAAAACUGGAUUAAUACCUAAUGAGAUGUAAUGACAGCAUUCGAAUUACAUUAAAGAUUUAUCGCUGAUGGAUGGACAUGCGUAAGAUUAGCUGGUUGGCGGGGUAACGGCCCACCAAGGCGACGAUCUUUAGGGGUUCUGAGAGGAAGGUCCCCCACAUUGGUACUGAGACACGGACCAAACUCCUACGGGAGGCAGCAGUGAGGAAUAUUGGUCAAUGGGCGGAAGCCUGAACCAGCCAAGUCGCGUGAAGGAUGAAGGUAUUAUGUAUUGUAAACUUCUUUAGCAGUGGAGUAAUAAGGGAGUCGUGACUCCUGAUGCAAGUACACUGAGAAUAAGGAUCGGCUAACUCCGUGCCAGCAGCCGCGGUAAUACGGAGGAUCCGAGCGUUAUCCGGAUUUAUUGGGUUUAAAGGGUGCGCAGGCGGCGCUUUAAGUCAGUGGUCAAAUCGUGAGGCUCAACCUCAUCCCGCCAUUGAUUACUGAAGCGCUUGAUUGCGGUCGAGGCCGGCGGAAUUCGUCGUGUAGCGGUGAAAUGCAUAGAUAUGACGAAGAACACCGAUUGCGUAGGCAGCUGGCCAGGCCGUAAAUGACGCUCAUGCACGAAAGUGCGGGGAUCGAACAGGAUUAGAUACCCUGGUAGUCCGCACAGUAAACGAUGAAUAGUUGUUCUUGGCGAUAUACAGUCAGGGGCAAAGCGAAAGCGAUAAGUAUUCCACCGGGGAGUACGCCGGCAACGGUGAAACUCAAAGGAAUUGACGGGGGCCCGCACAAGCGGAGGAACAUGUGGUUUAAUUCGAUGCUACGCGAGGAACCUUACCCGGGCUUGAAAGUUAUGGACAGGGGCAGAGACGCCCUCUUCUCGCAAGAGACCAGAAACUAGGUGCUGCAUGGUUGUCGUCAGCUCGUGCCGUGAGGUGUCGGCUUAAGUGCCAUAACGAGCGCAACCCCUAUGAUCCGUUGCCAGCGGGUAAUGCCGGGAACUCAGAUCACACUGCUUGUUUACGCAAGAGGAAGGUGGGGAUGACGUCAAGUCAGUAUGGCCCUUACACCCAGGGUUGCACACGUGCUACAAUGGCCGGUACAGAGGGAAGCAAGACCGCAAGGUGGAGCCAAUCCCAGAGAGCCGGCCUCAGUUCAGAUCGUGGUCUGCAACCCGACCCCGUGAAGUCGGAUUUGCUAGUAACGGCGUAUCAGCUACGACGCCGUGAAUGCAAUGCCGGGCCUUGCACACACCGCCCGUCAAG